This 810-nucleotide long non-coding RNA is filed under the name Homo sapiens (human). RNAcentral's name for it is "long independently transcribed non-coding RNA 2901 (LINC02901)". The record is from RNAcentral. Lineage: Eukaryota; Metazoa; Chordata; Mammalia; Primates; Hominidae.
ACUCUUCUCAACGGUUCCCUCUUCGGAAGGAAGCGCAGUCCGCAGCGUCGUCCGAGGGCGUGAUCGCCUGCGUCGCACCCGCGUCUCCAGUGGCCACCCCUUGUCCUACAGGAACGCGCAUCUGCUUAGCAGGCGCUGAGCCCUUGAGGAGGCCUAAAAUGAAUGAACGCGGCUGUGCCUCCUGAGCAGGCUCACAGUUGUGGGUGGGGGACAGAAGGGUGUCCAUGCCUAAGGUCGACGGCGAUAAGACAGACGUUCUUCCCAGGAGGAGAUCAGUUCCAGGUGGAGAGGUAUGAAGAACGAGGAACACUGCCCGGGGAGUUUCUUCCUCUGCAAAAUAAGGGAGUGUGUACUGAAUUACCGUUUCCAGCUCCAACAUCCAGGAUUUCAGCACUACCUGCAGAGUAGUGGGAGGAGAGAUAGAGGAAGAAGUGAAGAUAAGAAACCACUCGAAGCCGGUGUCUGGUGCUGGGACCGUGGUGGCUGGGACGGCAGCAGUCGUGCUGUCCAUCUGCUCUUCCGAGGGGUGGCACAUCCUAGCCUCUAUCUUUUCCCCAGAGAAGAUCCCCCUCGUCUGCUCUUCCCCCGUCUCAGCCUUUUAGUGUGUGAACAGUUCUGGUGUUACUCAGCAACGCUUUUGUUAGCGCCUUUACCAGCAAGUACUUGUUAAACACUUAAAUCUUACAAGUGGAAAGAAAAUUCCGUGGUAAAUUUAAGUACAAAAGUCAACCAAAAUUCUGAGUCUCGGACAAGACUGGUUAAAAAUCGUUCUACAAUGAAACUAAUAAAUUAAAUCAUAUAAAACUUUUA